Molecule: ribosomal RNA, 350 nt
Filed under: uncultured bacterium
Lineage: Bacteria
Description: bacterial SSU rRNA
Rfam family: Bacterial small subunit ribosomal RNA
Source: RNAcentral
GGGCCCGCACAAGCGGUGGAGUAUGUGGUUUAAUUCGAUGCAACGCGAAGAACCUUACCAGGGUUUGACAUCCUGCGAAUCUCUUGGAAACAGGAGAGUGCCUUCGGGAACGCAGUGACAGGUGGUGCAUGGCUGUCGUCAGCUCGUGUCGUGAGAUGUUGGGUUAAGUCCCGCAACGAGCGCAACCCACAUCCCUAGUUGCCAGCAGUUCGGCUGGGCACUCUAUGGAAACUGCCCGUGAUAAGCGGGAGGAAGGUGUGGAUGACGUCAAGUCCUCAUGGCCCUUACGGGUUGGGCUACACACGUGCUACAAUGGCUAGGACAGACGGCCGCAAACCCGCGAGGGGGAG